This 429-nucleotide ribosomal RNA is filed under the name Acidobacteriota bacterium. RNAcentral describes it as "Acidobacteria bacterium partial 16S ribosomal RNA". It matches the Rfam family "Bacterial small subunit ribosomal RNA", at positions 355 to 776 of the family's 1533-position model. Lineage: Bacteria; Pseudomonadati; Acidobacteriota. The record is from RNAcentral.
UGGGGAAUCUUCCGCAAUGGACGAAAGUCUGACGGAGCAACGCCGCGUGAGUGAUGAAGGAUUUCGGUCUGUAAAGCUCUGUUGUUUAUGACGAACGUGCAGUGUGUGAACAAUGCAUUGCAAUGACAGUAGUAAACGAGGAAGCCACGGCUAACUACGUGCCAGCAGCCGCGGUAAUACGUAGGUGGCGAGCGUUGUCCGGAAUUAUUGGGCGUAAAGAGCAUGUAGGCGGCUUAAUAAGUCGAGCGUGAAAAUGCGGGGCUCAACCCCGUAUGGCGCUGGAAACUGUUAGGCUUGAGUGCAGGAGAGGAAAGGGGAAUUCCCAGUGUAGCGGUGAAAUGCGUAGAUAUUGGGAGGAACACCAGUGGCGAAGGCGCCUUUCUGGACUGUGUCUGACGCUGAGAUGCGAAAGCCAGGGUAGCGAACGGG